Molecule: ribosomal RNA, 253 nt
Filed under: uncultured bacterium
Lineage: Bacteria
Description: partial 16S ribosomal RNA
Rfam family: Bacterial small subunit ribosomal RNA
Source: RNAcentral
UACGAAGGGGGCUAGCGUUGUUCGGAUUUACUGGGCGUAAAGCGCACGUAGGCGGAUUGUUAAGUCAGGGGUGAAAUCCUGGAGCUCAACUCCAGAACUGCCUUUGAUACUGGCAAUCUUGAGUCCGGAAGAGGUGAGUGGAACUCCUAGUGUAGAGGUGGAAUUCGUAGAGAUGUGGAGGAACACCGAUGGCGAAGGCAGCCUUCUGGGCCAACACUGACGCUCAUGCACGAAAGCGUGGGGAGCAAACAGG